UCAGGACGAACGCUGGCGGCGCGCCUAACACAUGCAAGUCGAACGAGCGAGAGAGAGCUUGCUUUCUCGAGCGAGUGGCGAACGGGUGAGUAACGCGUGAGGAACCUGCCUCAAAGAGGGGGACAACAGUUGGAAACGACUGCUAAUACCGCAUAAGCCCACAGGUCGGCAUCGACCAGAGGGAAAAGGAGCAAUCCGCUUUGAGAUGGCCUCGCGUCCGAUUAGCUAGUUGGUGAGGUAAUGGCCCACCAAGGCGACGACCGGCAGCCGGACUGAGAGGUUGAACGGCCACAUUGGGACUGAGACACGGCCCAGACUCCUACGGGAGGCAGCAGUGGGGAAUAUUGCACAAUGGGGGAAACCCUGAUGCAGCGACGCCGCGUGGAGGAAGAAGGUCUUCGGAUUGUAAACUCCUGUUGUUGAGGAAGAUAAUGACGGUACUCAACAAGGAAGUGACGGCUAACUACGUGCCAGCAGCCGCGGUAAAACGUAGGUCACAAGCGUUGUCCGGAAUUACUGGGUGUAAAGGGAGCGCAGGCGGGAAGACAAGUUGGAAGUGAGAUCUAUGGGGCUCACCCAUAAACUGCUUGCACAACUGUUUUUCUGGAUUAGUGCAGAGGUAGGCGGAAUUCCCGGUGUAGCGGUGGAAUGCGUAGAUAUCGGGAGGAACACCAGUGGCGAAGGCGGGCCUACUGGGCACCAACUGACGCUGAGGCUCGAAAGUGUGGGUAGCAACAGGAUUAGAUACCCUGGUAGUCCACACCGUAAACGAUGAUUACUAGGUGUUGGAGGAUUGACCCCUUCAGUGCCGCAGUUAACACAAUAAGUAAUCCACCUGGGGAGUACGACCGCAAGGUUGAAACUCAAAGGAAUUGACGGGGGCCCGCACAAGCAGUGGAGUAUGUGGUUUAAUUCGACGCAACGCGAAGAACCUUACCAAGUCUUGACAUCCCUUGACGAACAUAGAAAUAUGUUUUCUCUUCGGAGCAAGGAGACAGGUGGUGCAUGGUUGUCGUCAGCUCGUGUCGUGAGAUGUUGGGUUAAGUCCCGCAACGAGCGCAACCCUUACUGUCAGUUACUACGCAAGAGGACUCUGGCAGGACUGCCGUUGACAAAACGGAGGAAGGUGGGGAUGACGUCAAAUCAUCAUGCCCUUUAUGACUUGGGCUACACACGUACUACAAUGGCGUUAAACAAAGAGAAGCAAGACCGCGAGGUGAGCAAAACUCAGAAACAACGUCCCAGUUCGGACUGCAGGCUGCAACUCGCCUGCACGAAGUCGGAAUUGCUAGUAAUCGUGGAUCAGCAUGCCACGGUGAAUACAUUCCCGGGCCUUGUACACACCGCCCGUCA
Molecule: ribosomal RNA, 1353 nt
Filed under: uncultured bacterium
Lineage: Bacteria
Description: 16S ribosomal RNA
Rfam family: Bacterial small subunit ribosomal RNA
Source: RNAcentral